CCUACGGGAGGCAGCAGUGAGGAAUAUUGGUCAAUGGACGAGAGUCUGAACCAGCCAAGUAGCGUGAAGGAUGACUGCCCUAUGGGUUGUAAACUUCUUUUAUAUGGGAAUAAAAUGUUCCACGUGUGGGAUUUUGUAUGUACCAUAUGAAUAAGGAUCGGCUAACUCCGUGCCAGCAGCCGCGGUAAUACGGAGGAUCCGAGCGUUAUCCGGAUUUAUUGGGUUUAAAGGGAGCGUAGGUGGAUUUGUAAGUCAGUUGUGAAAGUUUGCGGCUCAACCGUAAAAUUGCAGUUGAAACUGGCAGUCUUGAGUACAGUAGAGGUGGGCGGAAUUCGUGGUGUAGCGGUGAAAUGCUUAGAUAUCACGAAGAACUCCGAUUGCGAAGGCAGUUCACUGGACUGCAACUGACACUGAGGCUCGAAAGUGUGGGUAUCAAACAGGAUCAGAUACCCUUGUAGUC
Molecule: ribosomal RNA, 460 nt
Filed under: uncultured bacterium
Lineage: Bacteria
Description: partial 16S ribosomal RNA
Rfam family: Bacterial small subunit ribosomal RNA
Source: RNAcentral